CUGCGGAGGACAUUAAAGUAUCUUUCGGUUGCCUGCGCUUUAACUAGCGCGGCGAUCAAACCUUACACACAGUGCUUAGUUUUUUCUAACAUUGCUUUGGCUUGGAGGCAACUCCGGGCCAGAGGUAUUAAAACACAUAGAUUUUUUUAAUCUUUUUUUACAAACCUUUAGUCAAGAAGUUUUUAUAAACAAAUCUUCAAAACUUUCAACAACGGAUCUCUUGGUUCUCGCAACGAUGAAGAACGCAGCGAAAUGCGAUACGUAAUGUGAAUUGCAGGUUUUCGUGAAUCAUCGAAUCUUUGAACGCAUAUUGCGCCCUCUGGUAUUCCGGAGGGCAUGCCUGUUUGAGCGUCAUUUCUCUCUCAAACCCUCGGGUUUGGUAUUGAGUGGUACUCAGUUACAUGGGUUAACUUGAAAUAGUGUGGCAAGAGCUGCAUGUGCAGAUCUCCUCUGAACUAACGUUUCUAGGUUCUACCAAAUUCGUUAUGGGCAGUUGAAGUGUGUGCUUGCUUUAGGCUCGGCCUUUACAAUAUCUUCUAUAAGUUUGACCUCAAAUCAGGUAGGAAUACCCGCUGAACUUAAGCAUAUCAAUA
Molecule: ribosomal RNA, 593 nt
Filed under: Petasospora stauntonica
Lineage: Eukaryota; Fungi; Ascomycota; Saccharomycetes; Phaffomycetales; Wickerhamomycetaceae
Description: eukaryotic LSU rRNA
Rfam family: 5.8S ribosomal RNA (bases 201-354)
Source: RNAcentral